Molecule: long non-coding RNA, 294 nt
Organism: Aethalodelphis obliquidens (Pacific white-sided dolphin)
Lineage: Eukaryota; Metazoa; Chordata; Mammalia; Artiodactyla; Delphinidae
Exons: 3
Source: RefSeq, a predicted model, not a curated record
AGUUCCUUUUCAGUGAAUGGCGAGGGCAGAGGAUUCACUCUGAGCUCCCAAUGCCUCUUCUUGAUGACAAGCUGUUCUCUGGACUCGACCACAGACAGGCAGCGUCGAGUGUGGCCUUGGGGCACCAGGUCUCCACCUGUGAGGAGCACCUCUGGGACGUCCUUGUUCAUGGGAGGUACACACAGGCCAGUCUGAAUCAAGAAGACAGAGAAUGAGUGGCAACAAGAAUGACUCUGCUGAUUUGCUUCAACAUUACCGCCCUCCCACCCACCACCACCAGCCUUCAUCACCCAG